RNAcentral lists this ribosomal RNA (1603 nucleotides) under Anthenea aspera. Its description in RNAcentral is "16S ribosomal RNA". It matches the Rfam family "Bacterial large subunit ribosomal RNA", at positions 396 to 2793 of the family's 2925-position model. Lineage: Eukaryota; Metazoa; Echinodermata; Asteroidea; Valvatida; Oreasteridae. The record is from RNAcentral.
AUUAUGGUUAGCCAAAAUAUUGUUUUGGAUGUUUUUAAGGGUAGUAGUUUAUAAGGGAAACGUUUAAAGUUUUAGAGCUAUAGGGAGAGUACUGAGAAGGAAUAUUGAAAUAAAAGUGAAAUAUUUAGAGUUAGAGAAGAAAGUGUUAUAAUACUGUACCUUUUGUAUAAUGGUUUAGUAAGAAUGAGAAUGGAGGGUGUAGAUUCUACCCGAAGUUAAAUGAGCUAAUGUGGUCUUCUUGUAAGAAGAAAAACGAUUACUGUUGCAGUAGUAAAGUUGGAGGUUACGUUAGUUGUGAAAUGCUUAUCGCAUUUAAGGAUAGCUGGUUUUCUUGGAGAUUGGUGUAAGCUGAAUUUUUAUGUUUUCUGGAGAAUUUUUUGGUCUAAAUGGACAAUAUUAGGUUUUUUGGAAACAAUAAUGUGUUUAGACAAGUGGGGAUAAGCUUGCUUGUCAAAGAGGAAAAAGCUUUUUUUGUAGGUUAAAAUAGGUUAACACUUUGCUCUUUGUUGUGUAGUAGGAUUAAUAUCAUCUAUCUGAGGAGAUGGCGUUAAAGCUUGUUUUUAUUGAGAAGUGGAGUGGAAAAUAUAAAGUUGUUGAGAUUUGAGACUGCAAAUGUUCUACAGGAAAUUCCCAUGGUUUAUUGGGAGUUAUAAUGCUAAGAUGAGUAAGGAUUGCUGGGAUUUUUUGUGUAUUAAGCAACCCUAACUUUGGAUGGAGAGGUCAUAUGAUAAGCGGGAAGUCAGACUUUUGUAGUGUUUGUUUAUUAUUGUUUGCUAACACAAGUGGUCUUUAGUUUUUAAAGUGGGAAAAAGGAAUUCGGCAAAUAUUUGAUUUCGCCUGUUUACCAAAAACAUCGCCCUUUGAAAAGAAGUAUUCUUAAUAUAAGGGGUACUGCCUGCCCGGUGACUUGGUUAAACGGCCGCGGUAUUUUGACCGUGCGAAGGUAGCAUAAUCAUUUGCCUUUUAAAUGGGGGCUGGUAUGAAUGGCAAGACGAAAAUCAGACUGUCUCUUUCUUAUUUUCUUGAAUUUAAUUUCUUCGUGAAGAAGCGAAGAUGGAGUCGCGGGACGAGAAGACCCUGUCGAGCUUGAGUGGAGCUUAUUUAGAUAUUUUGAGGACGCUUGAUUGCUAAUUAAUUGGCAUUUGUUUGUUAUAGUGGUUUUACUUUUCAGGUGGUUUUGUCAUGUGUAGGUUGUUUUGGUUGGGGUAAUCGCGGAGAAAAAGAAUCCUCCGUUAAGAGGGACUUAAAAAAUGAUUUUUUUGUGGUCUGGUCAUUGUGUUUGUGUGAUCCAUUGAAAUGAUGAUUAUAAGAAUAAGUUACCGCAGGGAUAACAGCGUAAUUCUUUUAGAGAGUUCAUAUUGAGAAAGGAGUUUGCGACCUCGAUGUUGGAUCGAGAUUUCCUGGGGGUGCAGUAGUUCCCGAGGGUUGGUCUGUUCGACCAUUAAAAUCUUACGUGAUCUGAGUUCAGACCGGCGGGAGCCAGGUCAGUUUCUAUCUGCGAUUGUUUUGAAAUACUUUCUUUAGUACGAAAGGAUUGAGAAGGGUGUAUCUACGCUUAAAGGUGAAUACUUUGAAAUGUUCUGUUAAUGAAUUGAAGAGAAUU